This 478-nucleotide ribosomal RNA is filed under the name uncultured bacterium. RNAcentral describes it as "bacterial SSU rRNA". It matches the Rfam family "Bacterial small subunit ribosomal RNA", at positions 28 to 524 of the family's 1533-position model. The record is from RNAcentral.
GACGAACGCUGGCGGCGUGCUUAACACAUGCAAGUCGAGCGGUAAGGCCCUUUCGGGGGUACACGAGCGGCGAACGGGUGAGUAACACGUGGGUGACCUGCCCUCAGCUCUGGGAUAAGCCUGGGAAACUGGGUCUAAUACCGGAUAUGACUCCAUGACGCAUGUUGUGGGGUGGAAAGCCUUGUGCGGCUGAGGAUGGGCCCGCGGCCUAUCAGCUUGUUGGUGGGGUGANGGCCUACCAAGGCGACGACGGGUAGCCGGCCUGAGAGGGCGACCAGCCACACUGGGACUGAGACACGGCCCAGACUCCUACGGGAGGCAGCAGUGGGGAAUCUUGCGCAAUGGGCGAAAGCCUGACGCAGCGACGCCGCGUGAAGGAUGAAAUCCUUCGGGAUGUAAACUUCGCAAAUAUGGGAAGAACACAAUGACGGUACCAUAUGUAAGCCCCGGCUAACUCCGUGCCAGCCGCCGCGGUAAC